GAUGAACGCUAGCUACAGGCUUAACACAUGCAAGUCGAGGGGUAACGAGAGGAAAGCUUGCUUUCCUUGUCGACGACCGGCGCACGGGUGAGUAACGCGUAUCCAACCUGCCCCCAACUAAGGAAUAACCUUGCGAAAGUAAGACUAAUACCUUAUAAUUUCCUCAGAUGACAUCUGACGAGGAAUAAAGAUUUAUCGGUUGUGGAUGGGGAUGCGUCUGAUUAGCUUGUUGGCGGGGUAACGGGCCACCAAGGCAACGAUCAGUAGGGGUUCUGAGAGGAAAGUCCCCCACAGUGGAACUGAGACACGGUCCAAACUCCUACGGGAGGCAGCAGUGAGGAAUAUUGGUCAAUGGGCGAAAGCCUGAACCAGCCAAGUAGCGUGCAGGAUGACGGCCCUAUGGGUUGUAAACUGCUUUUAUACAGGAAUAAAGUUAGCCACGUGUGGUUAUUUGUAGGUACUGUAUGAAUAAGGACCGGCUAAUUCCGUGCCAGCCGCCGCGGUAA
RNAcentral lists this ribosomal RNA (506 nucleotides) under uncultured bacterium. RNAcentral describes it as "partial 16S ribosomal RNA". It matches the Rfam family "Bacterial small subunit ribosomal RNA", at positions 28 to 523 of the family's 1533-position model. The record is from RNAcentral.